RNAcentral lists this unclassified non-coding RNA (472 nucleotides) under Hevea brasiliensis (rubber tree). The record is from RNAcentral. Lineage: Eukaryota; Viridiplantae; Streptophyta; Magnoliopsida; Malpighiales; Euphorbiaceae.
CAAGCCAGGUAUUUUGGCUGCUGAUAGAAAGUGAACAGAUUCAAUUUGUCAUUUGUAUGUUGGCCAGUCAAAUAAGAUGCAUGUUUCUUACAAAUCAGAGCAAGAACAAGGUAAAAGAAAAAGAAGAGCUUUACAGAAUGCUUUAUCUGAUAAAGAAACAGUUGCUGCAGGGCUCCUCUUAGCUUCUAGCCUCCGCAGUUUACCAUAACCACCUCCCAGUAUCUUCAAAUGAAUAAGAUACCAAUUCAAACUUUAGAAUAUACUGUCCCACAAUCCUGGAAACAACAUUUACGGCCCACGGUACCUGCGGAAACAGAGACAGCCUUGAGGUUGAUCUACAGGGAGCAUACCUCCACCCUUGGAUGUGUCGAUUGCUGCUAACAUGGACACAACCUCCUCCAUCUCAGGCCGCUUGUCAGGAUUCGCAUCCCAGCAUCGCUUCAUUACGUUGGCAAGAGAACUUGGGCAACAC